GAUGAACGCUGGCGGCGUGCCUAAUACAUGCAAGUCGAGCGAACGGACGAGAAGCUUGCUUCUCUGAUGUUAGCGGCGGACGGGUGAGUAACACGUGGAUAACCUACCUAUAAGACUGGGAUAACUUCGGGAAACCGUAGCUAAUACCGGAUAAUAUUUUGCACCGCAUGGUUCAAAAGUGAAAGACGGUCUUGCUGUCACUUAUAGAUGGAUCCGCGCUGCAUUAGCUAGUUGGUAAGGUAACGGCUUACCAAGGCAACGAUGCAUAGCCGACCUGAGAGGGGGAUCGGCCACCCGGGAACGGCGCCACGGACCAGACUCCUACGGGAGGCAGCAGUAGGGAAUCUUCCGCAAUGGGCGAAAGCCUGACGGAGCAACGCCGCGUGAGUGAUGAAGGUCUUCGGAUCGUAAAACUCUGUUAUUAGGGAAGAACAUAUGUGUAAGUAACUGUGCACAUCUUGACGGUACCUAAUCAGAAAGCCACGGCUAACUACGUG
RNAcentral lists this ribosomal RNA (497 nucleotides) under uncultured bacterium. Its description in RNAcentral is "partial 16S ribosomal RNA". It matches the Rfam family "Bacterial small subunit ribosomal RNA", at positions 28 to 507 of the family's 1533-position model. The record is from RNAcentral.